RNAcentral lists this long non-coding RNA (3355 nucleotides) under Homo sapiens (human). RNAcentral describes it as "HSALNT0147649". The stretch from base 1768 to 1884 matches the Rfam family "Metazoan signal recognition particle RNA". Lineage: Eukaryota; Metazoa; Chordata; Mammalia; Primates; Hominidae. The record is from RNAcentral.
GUCGGUUAGGUCUGACUUCUUUCGCUGUCAUAAUUUCCUCAGUUACAAUUUUACAAAGGCAGUUUCAAAGAGAGGGAGGAAAGAAUGUUAGGCUGGGUUUGCCCUGGGUUGGCCAUAUUCUUCUACCAAAGGACCCAGCUCUUGCAAAUCUGCCUUGUCUAUGGAACCCUCUGUCUCUGGAUUCUGAUAAAGACUACCCCCUUAACAUUUCAGGCCGAAGAGUUGUGAAGUUCUUCAUUGCAGAGAUGCCAAAGCCCGAAAAGUUAGAAGGUACGUCUCGUGAGAUAGAACAAAACUAGGAGUGUGAUACUUCGUGAAUGUCAAGAUCCUACAAGAGGAAUGGGGGAUUAUCAAGUGUGUCAGAUACUGUGGAGAGGCUGAGUAAGAAGAGAACAUAGAAGCAACCAUGAUAUGUCAUCGCAGGGGUCGUUGGUGACAUUGACAAAAAAUGAUCUCAGUGGUUCAGGUGAAAAGAAAGAUUGGAAAGUGUGACAAUGGACCCUGGAUGCCACAAUUAUGAACAACUUUUUAAAGACUUUUCUUUAAAAUGACCACCUAAGCAACAACAACAACAACAACAACAAAAUAUCAUUUUGUGAGUGGAUAGUCAAGGGAAACUUACUUUUGUUUUGUUUUUUAAAUGAUGAGAAUGAUACAAUGGAGAGGGGCAGAUUGAUGAUCUUGAAGGAAGAGCUCAUGAAUAGAAGACUAAAGUUCUCCAAAAGAGGACAUUGGAAAAAGAGCAUGGAAACCUGUGUAUGGAGUGGAUUGGGCUUAGGAGGAAGCAGGGACAUUUCAGUCUUUGACCUAAAAAGGAGAGCAGGUAGUAUGUAACGAGAUACAAGUGGGAAGGCAGAUUUAUUGGAGGGACUCUGAAGGUCUUCAUUUCUUCCCCUAUUUUCUUGACAAAGUGUGAAGAAAAAAAUCAUCAGCUGAGAUGGAAGGAAGUGGUUUCUCUCAUUACAAAAACAAUGAAGUCAUUGACUUUAAUAAAGAGCAGAGGUCUGACUGUUUUUAAGGUCGAACACUACAUUUUCCUUCCAAGUAAACUUGAAACUGUAUACAUGAUUCUAAAUGAUUGAAGGAUUAUCUUCAACCCAGAUGCUUGAUAGUUUUGUGUCACUUCCUACUGUAGGAUUUACGGUGGUUUGUGGAAGCAGGAAUAUACACCAAGUGACUUCACUCACACUUUUCUUAUUUUUUGAAUCAUUGGUAUUCAUAGCAAAUUUGGAGAACAGUCAAGAGAUAGUUCAUAUAAAGGUAGGCUGAGGUUUAAAAUAAAAGAGGUUAAUAUUUAUGUUUUCCUGAAACAAUGUUUAUGUACAAAUUGAACAAAGAAUCUAUUUCUGUUCUUAGACAUAAAAGAUUUUUUUAAAAGUUACAACUAGAAUAGGCUAGAUUCUUGGCAUCUAUUUUAUUUCCUUGCAACUACAGAAAAUCUGAUUUCCAAAGACAAAGAUGAACAUUGGUACUUGAACUGUGAUGAUUAUAUCUUAAUGCAUUUAUUUUUAAGGAUAGUUUCACUUUGAUAUGACAAUUUCAGACUGAAUUACGAGCCUAUGUACUAGAAUGGUCAUUUCUUACCUGCUGGAAAUUAAAGCAGUAUUAAAUUCUUGUCUUGAGGACACUGAUCAUUCUUUAAACAUCAGUGCUAUCUGAGGAAAACUACAAAUAGUACUGUAAAAAAACAAAAAGCUAAAUGUUAUUAUCUUUUGCAAUAUCUCAUAUUGUUCAAUUUGGUACAUUGGUAUUAAAGAUCUGUUCUUGGCCGGGCACGGUGGCUCACGCCUGUAAUCCCAGCACUUUGGGAGGCUGAGGCAGGCGGAUUGCCUGAGCUCAGGAGUUCUCAACCAGCCUGGGCAACACGGUGAAAUCCUGUCUCUACUAAAAUGCAAAAAAUUAGUCGGGGGUGGCAGCACGUGCCUGUAUUCUCAGCUACUCGGGAGGCUGAGGCAGGAGAAUCACUUGAACCCAGGAGGUGGAGGUUGCAGUGAGCUGAGAUUGAGCCACUGCACUCCAGCCUGGGCGACAGAGUGAGACUCAGUCUUAAAAAAAAAAAAAAAAUCUGUUCUUUAUUAUUUGUUGACUACAUAAAAUUUUUAGAUGUGCAAUUUAACUGUGUUUUGGUUCAAUCCCUUUGGAACUUCAUAAUGUUGAGGGCUUUCUUAAAAGGUAUUCCUAUAAUAAAUUUAUAAUAUGUCCAAUUUGGAUGAGACAACUGAUCCCUGGAAAUCUGUGGAGGUUACUAGGUGUAAUGUGAUAAAUCUUGGCCUCUAGAGUUAGGCAACUUUGAAUUCCAGUUCUGCUGUCUUCACUUACUUGAUUGGCAAUCGUGGGUAAAUCACUUUGCCUCUCUUAAAAUAAGUUUUCUCAUGUGCAAUAUGGGGAAAGUGGGGAAAAUAAUACCACCUCUAGAGUUGUGAGGAUAAAUUGAGGAAGUGAAUAUUAAACUCUUCUGCAAAGUAUCAAACAUGCCUUUUCAGUGGCAGCAAGUGCAGUACCAUAUGUGGAAAGCAUGCAGCUUUUUCACAGGGUAGGAGUCGUUCUCAGAUAUUUAAUUUCCUCACCUCUCUUGUUGGACUUUUCAUUUUUGAUUAUUAAAAGCAAAUUUUUUGUAAGGUGUUGCAAUUUACAUUUUAUUUCCUAGUAUUGCAUGAGUGUGUAUUUUAUCUAUCUAUCUAUCUAUCUAUCUAUGCUAGAUAUGAACCAUAAUAGUAAAAUUGACACCUGUGAAUUUAUCACCCAAUUAAUAAACUGGGAUAUAGCAAACACUGCUUCAUCAGCUAGGUGUCUGUUGCUAUUCCAUCUGGUAUUGUUUGAAUAUUUGUCCCCCACCACAAUUUAUUUCAAAACUUAAUUCUCAAUGCAGCAGUAUUGAGAGGUGGCCCUUCUAAGCGGUGAUUGAAUUAUGAGGGCUUUGUCCUCAUGGAUAGGUUAUUCAUAGGUUAAUGGGUUAAUGAAUGAAUGGGUUAUUAUGAAAGGAGACCUGGUGGCUUUAUAAGAAAAAAGAGACCUGAAUUAGCACAUGAGCACGCUCAGCAUCUUUCCCAUGUGAUACCCUGAGACACCUGGGGACUCUUCAGAGAGAUCCCAGCAGCAAGAAAGCUCUCACUAUAUGCACUCCUUUAUGGUCUUGCCUGCCUCCAGACGAGAACUGUAAUAAAUAAAUUCCUUUUAAAAUUACUCAGUUUCAGGUAUUAUGUUACAAAGAACAGAAAAUGAACUAAUACACCAUCUUUCUGCCUCAUGGUCGGGGGUGUCUUAAUUUGAAGUUUGAAUUUAUCAUUCUCCCUUUAAAAAUAAGCUUUCAUCAUAUAUAAAAGUUUCCCUAAAAUACUUUAUUUUGCUUUUGUGA